AAACAAUUAAUAAUUCGGCCUCCCAGCGGGAUCCCUGAGGAGCCAGCUCGUUGCCAUCCCUGCUUGAAAGUGCAGGGAAGCUGCAAGCAAUGUACCCAGAGCCGGCAGUGCGCGGCUACGGGGAGUGGUGGAUGGCGAAUUGCUGUGAAAAGAGAGAAGGAGGCGUUUCUACAGCGCCCCGUGCAAGGCUGCGAUCGUGGUCCCAAAGCGCGGACAGCGAGAUCGGGGGCAGCGUGGUUCCCUGGUUCUUAAAUGGGCUCCCCGCAGCAAGGCUCGCAGGCUGCGCCCGUGGUUUGAGGGCUUUUCUCCUUGUGAUGAAAUGGGGCCUGAAGGUAUCACAGCCUCAGCUCUCCUCGUUAAGGCAGUGGUGCUGAUAGCAGGCAAUGGGGUGCUACCGGGUUAUAGCACAAAUCCGACCUUUGGAAACCAAGGUCUCUGUGAUCCCCAAAUCCCAAAGUCCCGCCGGACCCAGUGGUGUAAGGAGCUCCUGCACUGAGGGCAGGGCACGUGGCUUCGUCCUGGCACAAGGAGCUUCUCUUCCUAUUCCCUACAGCGUGUGUGAGCAGGAGAUACAUCUACAGAGGUGUUAUCCAGUGACAAAGCAUUUGAGAGGAGUCUGGCCUGAAUCUAGGACUUUUGUUUUGGAGACCACGCAGCCUGGCUGCCCAGAACAGCCAAGGACUGGAAUCCUUUUAGCGUUUAACACUUCCUUGGCAAACAUCCUGCUGCUCUAUUGUUGCCCUCCUGAAGUGCAGGAGUUCCUUUUUGAGGAGGAAAAGAUCUCCAAACUCAGGGAAGUAUUUGCACUUGUGUUUGGUGACAUCUGCUUUGCUGCAAGCAUCACUGAGUGCAGAUCUACACAGCCUUUUAACCCUAUUCUCUAG
This 884-nucleotide long non-coding RNA is filed under the name Anser brachyrhynchus (Pink-footed goose). Its description in RNAcentral is "lncRNA (ENSABRG00000001240.1)". Lineage: Eukaryota; Metazoa; Chordata; Aves; Anseriformes; Anatidae. The record is from RNAcentral.